ACAAGAUUAAAUAACGGCUUCGGCCAGUCCCUAGCCGAUGUCCACUAGUAGUUGCGUCUGACUAGAAUCGGUAGCGCAUCUAACGCGUGAAGUAAACCGGCUGGGGAAUACGGUCGCCAGAUUACGACUCAAUGGAUUGGACGGACGGGUUCCUCGGAAUUACUGGGCGUAAAGGGUGCGCAGGUGGUUGAUUAAGUGUGAUGUGAAAGCCCCGGGCUCAACCUGGGAAUUGCAUUGCAAACUGGUCAACUAGAGUAUGGCAGAGGGGGGUGGAAUUCCGCGUGUAGCAGUGAAAUGCGUAGAGAUGCGGAGGAACACCGAUGGCGAAGGCAACCCCCUGGGCUAAUACUGACACUCAUGCACGAAAGCGUGGGGAGCAAACAGGAUUAGAUACCCUGGUAGUCCACGCCCUAAACGAUGUCUACUAGUUGUCGGGGAAUUCGUUCCUUAGUAACGCAGCUAACGCGUGAAGUAGACCGCCUGGGGAGUACGGCCGCAAGGCUAAAACUCAAA
This 513-nucleotide ribosomal RNA is filed under the name uncultured prokaryote. Its description in RNAcentral is "bacterial SSU rRNA". The stretch from base 129 to 513 matches the Rfam family "Bacterial small subunit ribosomal RNA", at positions 1 to 905 of the family's 1533-position model. The record is from RNAcentral.